Molecule: ribosomal RNA, 440 nt
Filed under: uncultured bacterium
Lineage: Bacteria
Description: partial 16S ribosomal RNA
Rfam family: Bacterial small subunit ribosomal RNA
Source: RNAcentral
CCUACGGGAGGCAGCAGUAGGGAAUAUUGCUCAAUGGGGGAAACCCUGAAGCAGCAACGCCGCGUGGAGGAUGAAGGUUUUCGGAUUGUAAACUCCUUUUGUUAGAGAAGAUAAUGACGGUAUCUAACGAAUAAGCACCGGCUAACUCCGUGCCAGCAGCCGCGGUAAUACGGAGGGUGCAAGCGUUACUCGGAAUCACUGGGCGUAAGGAGCGCGUAGGCGGGAUAGCAAGUCAGAUGUGAAAUCCUAUGGCUUAACCAUAGAACUGCAUUUGAAACUGUUAUUCUAGAGUAUGGGAGAGGUAGGUGGAAUUCGUGGUGUAGGGGUAAAAUCCGUAGAGAUCAAGAGGAAUACUGAUUGCGAAGGCGACCUGCUAGAACGUAACUGACGCUGAUGCGCGAAAGCGUGGGGAGCAAACAGGAUUAGAUACCCGGGUAGUC